UAUGGAGCAAGCGUUAUCCGGAUUUACUGGGUGUAAAGGGAGUGUAGGAGGCAUCACAAGUCAGAAGUGAAAACCCGUGGCUCAACCGCGGGACUGCUUUUGAAACUGUGGAGCUGGAGUGCAGGAGAGGCAAGUGGAAUUCCUAGUGUAGCGGUGAAAUGCGUAGAUAUUAGGAGGAACACCAGUGGCGAAGGCGGCUUGCUGGACUGUAACUGACACUGAGGCUCGAAAGCGUGGGGAGCAAA
Molecule: ribosomal RNA, 245 nt
Filed under: uncultured bacterium
Lineage: Bacteria
Description: partial 16S ribosomal RNA
Rfam family: Bacterial small subunit ribosomal RNA
Source: RNAcentral